This 28-nucleotide non-coding RNA is filed under the name Mus musculus (house mouse). Lineage: Eukaryota; Metazoa; Chordata; Mammalia; Rodentia; Muridae. The record is from RNAcentral.
UGGAAAAGCAGAGCUGCCUACCCUGAGU